Raphanus sativus (radish) is the source of this 753-nucleotide long non-coding RNA. RefSeq lists it as uncharacterized. The transcript has 2 exons. Lineage: Eukaryota; Viridiplantae; Streptophyta; Magnoliopsida; Brassicales; Brassicaceae. The record is from RefSeq and is a predicted model, not a curated record.
UAUUUUACCGACAUUAACAUCUCUAUCUCUCUCCCCUUCGUCGGUUUCCUCCUCCCAAAAUCACUUCUUUCUAUUCCUUCUUCAAAGUCGAUCACGUCUUCUCUCCCAAUUUUGAUCUUAAUUUUCGUCGGGUUACAAAAAGGAUCCAAUCUCGAUCGAAUAAUCUUCUGUCUCUGGAAUCAAAGACAAUUCUGGUUUGUCUCCGGGAGUCGCUGCUUUCACUGGCCGUUUCGAGCCACCGCUAGAAGAAGAUCACUGCUUUCACCUCUCUUAUGAGAAUAGCUUUGCCUACAGCAGCUUUAUCAGGAAGUGAAGAAUUUAGCCCCCCCCCCCCCAGAGAUCAAAUCUAAAGGCAAGGGAAAUAAAUCUGAUGAGGUUGGUGGGAAAGCUACUUUGAACAUUCGUAAGCUCUCCAUCAGGGGUUUACAAUCGAGAAAAAAAAGCUAAGGCCGUGGCUUUGGUUCAACAAGGUCUGUCAAUCCAAUGGGAGUUAUGAGACAGGGGACAACAAAACAACUUCGCAGUGCAAGGCUUACAAACGUCUGAGAAAUACGUCGACAAAUGCUAUAACACUAGAUUUUCUUGUUCGGUUCAAUUAACCAGAUUUGUUCUGUGACAGAAGAAGCCAAGGCUUGUAGUUAGUUGUAAAUGUUUUCUUUAUAAGGCUUUUGUUUAGUACCCAUCGAAACAUAAACCUUCUACUACAUUUUUGCUUCUAUCUUAUAAGACAGAGGAAGACAUGAUUUUUUUUAA